This 253-nucleotide ribosomal RNA is filed under the name uncultured bacterium. Its description in RNAcentral is "partial 16S ribosomal RNA". It matches the Rfam family "Bacterial small subunit ribosomal RNA", at positions 524 to 776 of the family's 1533-position model. The record is from RNAcentral.
UACGGGGGGGGCAAGCGUUGUUCGGAAUUACUGGGCGUAAAGGGCUCGUAGGCGGCCAACUAAGUCAGACGUGAAAUCCCUCGGCUUAACCGGGGAACUGCAUCUGAUACUGGAUGGCUUGAGUUCGGCAGAGGGGGGUGGAAUUCCGCGUGUAGCAGUGAAAUGCGUAGAGAUGCGGAGGAACACCGAUGGCGAAGGCAGCCCCCUGGGCUAACACUGACGCUCAGGCACGAAAGCGUGGGGAGCAAACAGG